Molecule: small RNA, 141 nt
Filed under: Kluyvera ascorbata
Lineage: Bacteria; Pseudomonadati; Pseudomonadota; Gammaproteobacteria; Enterobacterales; Enterobacteriaceae
Description: Enterobacterial sRNA STnc430
Rfam family: Enterobacterial sRNA STnc430
Source: RNAcentral
UGACAAUAUACGGUUAAUCCGAAACAUACAUCUGGGAUAGGUGAUAUUUAGGAUUAUGCUCAAUAUCAAUAUAAUUCAGAAAAUGAAGAUAUACGGAAUUAUCUGACAAAAAAAUGCCGGCAUUACGCCGGCAUUGAGAAU